This 253-nucleotide ribosomal RNA is filed under the name uncultured bacterium. Its description in RNAcentral is "partial 16S ribosomal RNA". It matches the Rfam family "Bacterial small subunit ribosomal RNA", at positions 524 to 776 of the family's 1533-position model. The record is from RNAcentral.
UACAUGUGGUGCAAGCGUUGUUCGGAAUCAUUGGGCGUAAAGCGCGUGUAGGCGGCUUGGCAAGUCGGUUGUGAAAGCCCGGGGCCCAACCCCGGAAUUGCAUCUGAAACUGCCUCGCUAGAGUCCCGGAGAGGAAGGCAGAAUUCCCGGUGUAGGGGUGAAAUCCGUAGAUAUCGGGAGGAAUACCAGCGGCGAAGGCGGCCUUCUGGACGGUGACUGACGCUGAGACGCGAAAGCGUGGGGAGCAAACAGG